CCUACGGGUGACAGCAGUGGGGAAUAUUGGGCAAUGGGCGCAAGCCUGACCCAGCCACGCCGCGUGAAGGAAGAAGGCUUUCGGGUUGUAAACUUCUUUUAAGAGGGAGGAGCGGAAGACGGUACCUCUUGAAUAAGCCACGGCUAACUACGUGCCAGCAGCCGCGGUAAUACGGAGGUGGCAAGCGUUGUCCGGAUUUACUGGGUGUAAUGGGCGUGUAGCCGGGGUGACAAGUGAGAUGUGAAAUGCCCGGGCUCAACCCCGGACCUGCAUUUGAAACUGGUUGGCUAGAGUAUCGGAGGGGCAGGCAGAAUUCCAAGUGUAGCGGUGAAAUGCGUAGAGAUGAGGAGGAACACCAGAGGCGAAGGCGGCCUGCUGGACGACAACUGACGGUGAGGCGCGAAAGCGUGGGGAGCAAACAGGAUUAGAUACCCUAGUAGUC
This 442-nucleotide ribosomal RNA is filed under the name uncultured bacterium. RNAcentral's name for it is "partial 16S ribosomal RNA". It matches the Rfam family "Bacterial small subunit ribosomal RNA", at positions 338 to 795 of the family's 1533-position model. The record is from RNAcentral.